Molecule: unclassified non-coding RNA, 708 nt
Filed under: Hevea brasiliensis (rubber tree)
Lineage: Eukaryota; Viridiplantae; Streptophyta; Magnoliopsida; Malpighiales; Euphorbiaceae
Source: RNAcentral
GGGAAAUAAAAUAUAUCAUAAAACAGUUAUAUCCAGACACAUGAAAUGUAGCAAUCACAUGAUGUUUACACAUCACAAAAAAUUCAUAACAAGAUAGUGAUGUCACAAGUGGUUCCCCAGCCACAACAUAAUCAUUAUCAUAAUUACAUUGUGCCCAACCUAUUAAAGAAGCUCCUCAGGAUUUCCUUUUAACAUUACACAUAAUGGAUACCAGCAAUAUAUAAGUCAUGGCUUACCUGAGGUGGAUUCUGAAUUCCCUAGUAUCCAAAUGUCAGAGACAUAGCAUUGCCUUACUUGAUAUCCUCUUUCCUUUACUUUCACAAUGAGCUCAUUUGUAUGUGUGCUAUUUCCUUUACUUAGCUUUCCUUUCCCAAUGAGAACCAAUAGGUCAUCCAUGAACUACCAACAUAAUGAGGUGAGUGAAAAUCUAUGAAUCAUAGAAACGGCACUGGGCAGCAUUUCCCAAUGUCCGAGGCAUUUCUAAUAUAGAAACAAAAUGACACGUUUUUAGGCUGUUUCCAAAAAUCCUGACAGUGCAGUGUAGCGACGAUUGACAGUGACAACGGCAACAGCAGUCGGCAGUGAUGGUGCAGGUGAGGGAUCUCUUCUUUGCAUCUCCCUUUCUCUUCUCUACCUUCCCCUUGUCUUGUGGCCUUUAACCUUCUCCGUUUCUCCUAUCUCCAUUACCAUCGUGCUUAUCCAUUCCUG